This 253-nucleotide ribosomal RNA is filed under the name uncultured bacterium. RNAcentral describes it as "partial 16S ribosomal RNA". It matches the Rfam family "Bacterial small subunit ribosomal RNA", at positions 524 to 776 of the family's 1533-position model. The record is from RNAcentral.
UACGUAGGGGGCUAGCGUUGUCCGGAAUCAUUGGGCGUAAAGCGCGUGUAGGCGGUCCGGUAAGUCCGCUGUGAAAGUCGGGGGCUCAACCCUCGAAUGCCGGUGGAUACUGUCGGGCUAGAGUGCGGAAGAGGCGAGUGGAAUUCCUGGUGUAGCGGUGAAAUGCGCAGAUAUCGGAAGGAACACCAGUGGCGAAAGCGGCUUCCUGGUCCAGCACCGACGUUCAGGCACGAAAGCGUGGGGAGCAAACAGG